AACGAACGCUGGCGGCAUGCCUAACACAUGCAAGUCGAACGAGACCUUCGGGUCUAGUGGCGCACGGGUGCGUAACGCGUGGGAACCUGCCCUUAGGUUCGGAAUAACUCCCCGAAAGGGGUGCUAAUACCGGAUAAUGUCUUCGGACCAAAGAUUUAUCGCCUUUGGAUGGGCCCGCGUUGGAUUAGCUAGUUGGUAGGGUAAAAGCCUACCAAGGCGACGAUCCAUAGCUGGUCUGAGAGGAUGAUCAGCCACACUGGGACUGAGACACGGCCCAGACUCCUACGGGAGGCAGCAGUGGAGAAUAUUGGACAAUGGGCGAAAGCCUGAUCCAGCAAGGCCGCGUGAGUGAUGAAGGCCUUAGGGUUGUAAAGCUCUUUUACCCGGGAUGAUAAUGACAGUACCGGGAGAAUAAGCUCCGGCUAACUCCGUG
This 433-nucleotide ribosomal RNA is filed under the name uncultured bacterium. RNAcentral's name for it is "partial 16S ribosomal RNA". It matches the Rfam family "Bacterial small subunit ribosomal RNA", at positions 29 to 507 of the family's 1533-position model. The record is from RNAcentral.